RNAcentral lists this ribosomal RNA (324 nucleotides) under Triticum aestivum (bread wheat). RNAcentral describes it as "partial small subunit ribosomal RNA". Lineage: Eukaryota; Viridiplantae; Streptophyta; Magnoliopsida; Poales; Poaceae. The record is from RNAcentral.
AUGGUGACCGAGUAUUUCAACACCACAAGCGGUGCGAUAAGUUUGUCAAGCAAAUUGCGAGGGAAAAUCAAAACGUUCGAGUGCGAAAAGCAAAUGGCGAAUGAAAACACCCUGCAAAUACCCCGUUCAUCUAUCACUCGUUGUACUUCUCCCCAUUUUUGUCAACGAGUGUCAAAAAGAAAGAGAACACAUACGAGGAAGUACUUGGCCGGAGUGUCCUCAGAAUCAAAAUUGAAACUGCUCGAUGAAUCAGAACUCGCAGAGCGAGGAAUGGUCGAGGCAGAAGCAGGAGUAGCAACAUUGACUUUAGAAGAAAUGUUGUGA